GAAAAGCUACUACUAGGUGAGACGCAGCAAGUCUCAUAUCUCACCAGGAGGGGAGGCUGCCUUCCCUCCCCUCCCCUCAGGGAGAAAACUAAAGCCUAAAAGAAGGAAUGGACUGCCCCUGUGCAGCCAGGAGGGACUGUUUUACCUCAAGCCCAUCUCGCCAAGGCUAAACAACAGCUGAGGUUGAAAAUCUGCCACAUAUGUGAAUAUGUAGGAAUGCAUCUUAAAAAGUCUUCUCAGUGGAAAUAUUUGCAAUGAUUAUUAAACCAGAGACUUGGAUCCCUGUAACUGUACCCCCAACUGAGAGCCACAUACUCACUGUAAAGCACUCCAGUUGCACAAAGUAUAGUAAUUCAAACAUUGUUUUUCAUCCCAUGUCAAGUAACUGUUCUCAAACCUGAUUUGUUGACUGAAGCAUUGUGAAUGGGCAGGAGGGGGAUUCAAAUCAUUCUCCUAUUGACCUGUGGUGCUGUAAAUCAAACUCAGUUUUUCAAAAGACUUGAACAAAUCUAAACCCAUUUGACUCUAAUGUAAACAUUAGAAAUGAAUGUCAAUCCCUGAAAAUGUUUAGUCUUUUAAUUUUGUAUCCAAAAUACAAUUUUAAUGAUUUGAAAAAAAAUAGGUGCUAAUAUCCAAUUCACAGCAAAACUUUUUUAUGAUGCUGUUGACUUUAAAUCAGAUUUUUUUCAAAGCUUUCUUUUCUGACUGAAGACCACUAAAUACAAUGCAUUAAAGCAUGAUAAUUCCUGUAGCAGACUGAAGUUGUGAUAGCGGUUCCAAGAGCUAGAGGUGCUUGUCCAAUUAUUUAAAGCAUGUACACUAUGGGUCAAGCUGUAUAUGGUGUUCAUAUCUAUGCAUUUUAUAACCGAGGCCAGUUGUCACAAAUGUAAAUGUCCUCUUCUCAUUAGGGGGGGAAAACACAGAGUGAUGUAAGUUUAUAAAAUGCCCAAUAUUUAACAGAUUUGCAAUGUUUGGGAUUAUGUUUAGGUUCAUGCAAUUAAGGAUUUAGGUAUGGUUGUAUUGCAUUGAAAACUAAUCAAAAUAUUUAUUUUAAAAUACUGUAUCUUCCUUUUUAAUUAAAUACAAUGCAUGAAGGACUA
This is a long non-coding RNA of Dermochelys coriacea (leatherback sea turtle), 1100 nucleotides long. RefSeq lists it as uncharacterized. Lineage: Eukaryota; Metazoa; Chordata; Testudines; Dermochelyidae. The transcript has 2 exons. The record is from RefSeq and is a predicted model, not a curated record.